AAUUCUAGUGUUUUGGCCGUAAAAUGCAAAACAUGAGGAAAGGUCAUGGCGGGGUGGUGACUAUGGUUCCUUAGGUCGUAUUUAAUGGCCCGAAAGGUUUUUAGGGAAUCUAGUUCCGGGGGCCCCUACCCACUGGGGAGGCGUGGGCUAUAGCACACGAAAAUAUGGGAAUCGGGCGGAAAUCUAGUUUUUUGGCCGUAAAAUGCAAAACAUGAGGAACGAUCAUGGCGGGGCGGUGACUAUGGUUCCUUAGGUCGUAUUUGAUGGCCCAAAAAAGUUUUACGCAAUCCAGUUUUGGGGGGCUCGGGCCCACUCGGAAGGCGGUGACUAUGGUUCCUUAUGUCAUAUUUGAUGGCUUGGAAAAAUUUUAGGCGAUCCGGUUUUGUGGGCCCACUGGGGAGGCGUGGGCUAUAGCAAACGAAAAUAUGGGAAUCGGGCGAAAUUCUAGUUUUUUGGCCGUAAAAUGCAAAACAUGAGGAAUGGUCAUGGAGGGGUGGUGAAUAUGGUUCCUUAGGUCGUAUUUAAUGGCCCGAAAGGUUUUUAGGGAAUCCAGUUCCGGGGCCCCUACCCACUGGGGAGGCGUGGGCUAUAGUAAACGAAAAUAUGGGAAUCAGACGGAAUUAUAGUUUUUUGGCCCAAAAAAGCAAAAUAUGAGGAACGAUCAUGGCGGGGCGGUGACUAUGGUUCCUUAGGUCGUAUUUGAUGGCCCGGAAAAAUUUUAGGCGAUCGGGGUCCCGGAGUCCCGGGACCACUUGGAAGGCGUGGGCUAUAGCACACGAAAAUAUGGGAAUCAGGCGAAAUUCUAAUUUUUUGGCCGUAAAACGCAAAAUAUGAGGAAUGGUAAUGGCGGGGCGGUAACUAUGGUUCUUUAGGUCGUAUUUCAUGGCCCGGAAAAUUUUUAGACGUUCGGGGUCCGGGGGCCCUUGCACACUUGGAAGGCGUGGGCUAUAGCACACAAAAAUAUGGGAAUCGGGCGGAAUU
RNAcentral lists this long non-coding RNA (981 nucleotides) under Nicotiana tabacum (common tobacco). RNAcentral's name for it is "long non-coding RNA (NTAB_LNC000660)". The record is from RNAcentral. Lineage: Eukaryota; Viridiplantae; Streptophyta; Magnoliopsida; Solanales; Solanaceae.